GGGCCUCUCAAAGGGCCAGGGUUACAGGGAAGAGCCACCGCGCCCAGUCCAGGGUGGGUCAUCUUCUCCCGGACCUUAUGUGGAGUCCGAGGCCCCCGAGCCCGCUGCCAAAGACCAAGUUCCAAGACCUAACCUAGUAAAGAACCCAGUUGUGCCUCCACCCGGAAGCGACUCGGGCUCGGGGCCGGAAGUGACGCCCUUUCUGUGCGCCGAGCCCAGAAACGGCCGCGCUCCGCCCCACGAACACCUGUUUCUGGGCGGAGAGCCCGCGCCGUUUCCUCCUCUGGUGUUUCGGCGCGGCCUCGGAUCCGGCAAGAUGGGCAAGAAAGGUAAGAAGGAGAAGAAGGGCCGCGGCGCGGAGAAGACAGCCGCCAAGAUGGAGAAGAAGGUGUCCAAGCGCUCGCGGAAGGAGGAGGAAGACCUGGAGGCGCUCAUAGCCCAUUUCCAGACACUCGAUGCCAAGAAGACUCAGAUUGUGGAAACUCCGUGCUCCCCGCCCUCACCAAGUAGGAGAUGAACCUUGCAGGAUUCACCUUGUGAAUAAAGCUGCCGCAGGCCCAAGUGGAAGCCGGCGUUCGGCCCUUCUGGAGCGGGGGUCAUGAUUGUGCUGCCUUUGCCUUGACAAGUUGCACCUACCGGCCUCGGAGGCAGGGUUAUCACGUGCACAGAGGUGGGAGGAGCGUGGCGAUGAGUCCCUGAGCAGAGCGAGUCCUGUGGGGGCCACUCCCAAAGGCAGAUGUUCUUCCUGCUUUCACUUGAAUGUCCAGUAGGGUUUGAGUUUUAUUUUUCCC
Molecule: long non-coding RNA, 791 nt
Organism: Sapajus apella (tufted capuchin)
Lineage: Eukaryota; Metazoa; Chordata; Mammalia; Primates; Cebidae
Exons: 3
Source: RefSeq, a predicted model, not a curated record